Molecule: long non-coding RNA, 1215 nt
Filed under: Vitis vinifera (wine grape)
Lineage: Eukaryota; Viridiplantae; Streptophyta; Magnoliopsida; Vitales; Vitaceae
Description: long non-coding RNA (VVIN_LNC000025)
Source: RNAcentral
CGGCAUGAAAUAUUGCAUAAGGUGACCCCUCACAAACAUUACAAGCGACAAAAUGACAAGAACUUGUAAAUAAUUUAUAGAUACCGGAACUUUCAACUUUUUCUUUUGAGGCUCUUCAUCACUUUCAUCAGAACUAUCAUCUUCACUGCUAUCUUCUUUAGGUGCUGGUUUUUUCUGUGGUUCCUACAUCCACAGAAUUGAGCAGAGCAUCAAAUUUGACAAGCUAAGGUGAUGCCAGAAUUUUUGAGAAAUAAAAAGAAUAUAGUGAUAUUCUCAACCAUGUGGCCUAAAAUUUCCAUCAAUGGACCAAAACAAGGAGAGCCUGGUGUCUUCUAAAAAAGAAUUAGGGAGCCAAUAAAAAGUGAUUGUACAGAAUACUCUAAAGCAAAAUGAGCUGCACAUCAUGCAAGACUACAGGAAUAUGGAACUAAUGAUCGCUGAAAAAAAAUAGCAACGCUUGAUAAUUAUGUGUGUGUGUGUGUGUGUGUGUGUGCACGCGUGCACACUUGCUUAACAGAGAUAGACAACCUAUUGAAAUUUAGCCAAAUGUUUUACUAUGCUGUAGAAAUAUAUAUAUAUAUAUAUAUAUAUAUAUAUGGAGCCCAAAAAAAAAUAUUUAAAAACUAAUCCCCUACCACUAGAGAAGUGCACAUGCCCAUCUCAACUUCUAUUUUAGGCAGCACCUUGCUUUGUGCAAAGAUUCUACUCAAUACACAUAUUCAAUCUAAUUACUAAGACAUUUCACACACUAUCAAAGAAUAAACAAUCUAUUAUUGCUUGUUAGCAAAUGGAGCCAACAAAUUGCCCCCUGCGCAUAACAGUCACCAACAUAGAGCUAUACUUCUGGCUAAAAUUAUCAAUCAGAACUAAUCAACAACUACUUUAUCAGCAUUUAAUAGCAGGACGAAGCAGUUUACUUGCUCUAACAUUCCUCUAGGAAGGUGGAAGGAUGAAAAACGCACCUCUUCUUCCUCUGAAGAGGUCUCAGAAGAACUAUCACUAGACUGUACUUUCUUUUUAGGUGCUGCAGCAAUUACAUUCUUUGCAGCAGCUACAUUCUUUGCAGCAGCUGGUUCCUGCACAUUAUUAGUUUGGGUAAGAAAAUAAACAUAAUAAUAAUACAAUACUAGAAUGAGCAAGAAAUUACAUGGCACAAGUAAAAAACACGUAUCCAACAAUUGACAAAAAACAAAUUCAAACCAGCAGAACAUGAAG